RNAcentral lists this ribosomal RNA (406 nucleotides) under uncultured bacterium. RNAcentral describes it as "partial 16S ribosomal RNA". It matches the Rfam family "Bacterial small subunit ribosomal RNA", at positions 30 to 526 of the family's 1533-position model. The record is from RNAcentral.
AUUGAACGCUGGCGGCAGGCCUAACACAUGCAAGUCGAACGAGUGGCGGACGGGUGAGUAAUGUCUGGGAAACUGCCCGAUGGAGGGGGAUAACUACUGGAAACGGUAGCUAAUACCGCAUACCAUCAGCUGUGCCCAGAUGGGAUUAGCUAGUAGGUGGGGUAACGGCUCACCUAGGCGACGAUCCCUAGCUGGUCUGAGAGGAUGACCAGCCACACUGGAACUGAGAAACGGUCCAGACUCCAACGGGGGGCAGCAGUGGGGAGUAUUGCAAAAUGGGCGCAAGCCUGAUGCAGCCAUGCCGCGUGUAUGAAGAAGGCCGUCGGGUUGUAAAGUACGUUCAGCGAGUAGGCGUUACUCGCAGAAGAAGCACCGGCUAACUCCGUGCCAGCAGCCGCGGUAAUAC